Molecule: ribosomal RNA, 660 nt
Filed under: uncultured Clostridium sp.
Lineage: Bacteria; Bacillati; Bacillota; Clostridia; Eubacteriales; Clostridiaceae
Description: bacterial SSU rRNA
Rfam family: Bacterial small subunit ribosomal RNA
Source: RNAcentral
GAUGAACGCUGGCGGCGUGCCUAACACAUGCAAGUCGAGCGAACCCUUCGGGGUGAGCGGCGGACGGGUGAGUAACGCGUGGGUAACCUGCCCUAUACACACGGAUAACGUACCGAAAGGUACGCUAAUACGAGAUAACAUAUUUUUAUCGCAUGGUAGAAAUAUCAAAGCUCCGGCGGUAUAGGAUGGACCCGCGUCUGAUUAGCUAGUUGGUAAGGUAAUGGCUUACCAAGGCGACGAUCAGUAGCCGACCUGAGAGGGUGAUCGGCCACAUUGGAACUGAGACACGGUCCAAACUCCUACGGGAGGCAGCAGUGGGGAAUAUUGCACAAUGGGCGAAAGCCUGAUGCAGCAACGCCGCGUGAGCGAUGAAGGCCUUCGGGUCGUAAAGCUCUGUCCUCAAGGAAGAUAAUGGCGGUACUUGAGGAGGAAGCCCCGGCUAACUACGUGCCAGCAGCCGCGGUAAUACGUAGGGGGCUAGCGUUAUCCGGAAUUACUGGGCGUAAAGGGUGCGUAGGUGGUUUCUUAAGUCAGAGGUGAAAGGCUACGGCUCAACCGUAGUAAGCCUUUGAAACUGAGAAACUUGAGUGCAGGAGAGGAGAGUAGAAUUCCUAGUGUAGCGGUGAAAUGCGUAGAUAUUAGGAGGAAUACCAGUUGCGA